UGGUGGGUAGUUUGACUGGGGCGGUCUCCUCCUAAAGAGUAACGGAGGAGCACGAAGGUUGGCUAAUCCUGGUCGGACAUCAGGAGGUUAGUGCAAUGGCAUAAGCCAGCUUGACUGCGAGCGUGACGGCGCGAGCAGGUGCGAAAGCAGGUCAUAGUGAUCCGGUGGUUCUGAAUGGAAGGGCCAUCGCUCAACGGAUAAAAGGUACUCCGGGGAUAACAGGCUGAUACCGCCCAAGAGUUCAUAUCGACGGCGGUGUUUGGCACCUCGAUGUCGGCUCAUCACAUCCUGGGGCUGAAGUAGGUCCCAAGGGUAUGGCUGUUCGCCAUUUAAAGUGGUACGCGAGCUGGGUUUAGAACGUCGUGAGACAGUUCGGUCCCUAUCUGCCGUGGGCGCUGGAGAACUGAGGGGGGCUGCUCCUAGUACGAGAGGACCGGAGUGGACGCAUCACUGGUGUUCGGGUUGUCAUGCCAAUGGCACUGCCCGGUAGCUAAAUGCGGAAAAGAUAAGUGCUGAAAGCAUCUAAGCACGAAACUUGCCCCGAGAUGAGUUCUCCCUGAGACCUAGAGUCUCCUGAAGGAACGUUGAAGACGACGACGUUGAUAGGCCGGGUGUGUAAGCGCAGCGAUGCGUUGAGCUAACCGGUACUAAUGAACCGUGAGGCUUAACCUUACAACGCCGAAG
Molecule: ribosomal RNA, 684 nt
Filed under: Salmonella enterica subsp. enterica serovar Saintpaul
Lineage: Bacteria; Pseudomonadati; Pseudomonadota; Gammaproteobacteria; Enterobacterales; Enterobacteriaceae
Description: partial 23S ribosomal RNA
Rfam family: Bacterial large subunit ribosomal RNA
Source: RNAcentral